UUGGCCUAGGGGCGCAGCAGUGAGGAAUAUUGGUCAAUGGGCGGAAGCCUGAACCAGCCAAGUAGCGUGCAGGAUGACGGCCCUACGGGUUGUAAACUGCUUUUAUACGGGAAUAACGCGCCUUACGUGUAGGGCUUUGCAUGUACCGUAUGAAUAGGGACCGGCUAAUUCCGUGCCAGCAGCCGCGGUAAUACGGAAGGUCCGGGCGUUAUCCGGAUUUAUUGGGUUUAAAGGGAGCGUAGGCCGCAUGUCAAGCGUGCUGUGAAAUGUCCGGGCUCAACCCGGGCCUUGCAGCGCGAACUGGG
This 305-nucleotide ribosomal RNA is filed under the name uncultured bacterium. RNAcentral's name for it is "bacterial SSU rRNA". It matches the Rfam family "Bacterial small subunit ribosomal RNA", at positions 334 to 637 of the family's 1533-position model. The record is from RNAcentral.